GGCAGAGGAUGCAAGCGUUAUCCGGAAUGAUUGGGCGUAAAGCGUCUGUAGGUGGCUUUUUAAGUCCGCCGUCAAAUCCCAGGGCUCAACUCUGGACAGGCGGUGGAAACUACCAAGCUGGAGUACGGUAGGGGCAGAGGGAAUUUCCGGUGGAGCGGUGAAAUGCGUAGAGAUCGAGAGGAACACCAGUGGCGAAGGCGAGUCUCUGGACGACUCCUGACACUGAGGCACGAAAGCCAGGGGAGCAAACAGG
RNAcentral lists this ribosomal RNA (253 nucleotides) under uncultured bacterium. RNAcentral's name for it is "partial 16S ribosomal RNA". It matches the Rfam family "Bacterial small subunit ribosomal RNA", at positions 524 to 776 of the family's 1533-position model. The record is from RNAcentral.